AUGCCUGCCUUUAAUUUUUCCUUGCCUUAUCUUCACCGUACUGAAACAGAGCUGAGGUGCACGUGCUUCGGCACCGGCGAGCUCCGCAUGCCGCCGGUGAUGUCGCUCGAGAGCAUCAGGAGGCAAAGCGUGACGUCCUCCUGCUCCUCCUCGAACGCGCUCAGCAUCGGCUGCGGCGGCAUGGGGGCCAACGCUGCCACGCGCAUCGGACUGUGCCUCCACCUGGGCAACACGACCAUCACAGCAACCGGCGGCCGCCUCCAUCUCGUUGUGGGCCUCCGGCAGCGCCUUGCUGAGUGA
This 300-nucleotide ribosomal RNA is filed under the name Triticum aestivum (bread wheat). Its description in RNAcentral is "partial small subunit ribosomal RNA". Lineage: Eukaryota; Viridiplantae; Streptophyta; Magnoliopsida; Poales; Poaceae. The record is from RNAcentral.